GCGGGCAUAGUAUAAUGGUAGUACAUAACCUUCCCAAGGUUAGGGCGUGAGUUCGAUUCUCAUUGUCCGCU
This is a non-coding RNA of Candidatus Staskawiczbacteria bacterium, 71 nucleotides long. NCBI's taxonomy places the organism in Bacteria, Candidatus Staskawicziibacteriota. The record is from Rfam.